ACCUAAAUAGCUUAUACAAGAGCAUAGUAUUGAAGAUACUAAGGAAAUUUAGAUUUUUAGGUA
Molecule: transfer RNA, 63 nt
Filed under: Cryptocephalus lusitanicus
Lineage: Eukaryota; Metazoa; Arthropoda; Insecta; Coleoptera; Chrysomelidae
Description: tRNA-Phe
Source: RNAcentral